GCCUAUGAGUAGUGACGGAGUGCAAAGUCACUGCCAAGCCACUCUCCCCUCUGUUCAUCCCCACAAGGGCCCUCUCUGGGGGAAGCCUCCUCUUGCCCCACCCUGCCAUGGCCGCCAGGCUCCUCUGCUCUGCCAUCCUUUGUCUCCUGGGACUAGGGCUCUCAGAUGUUGGAGUCACCCAGACACCCAGGCACAAGGUGACAAAGAUUGAACAAGAAGUAACCCUGAGUUGUAAGCCAAUUUCUGGCCAUGACAGCCUUUACUGGUACAGACAGACCUCACUACAGGGACUGAAGUUACUAGUGUAUUUCCGUAAUCAAGCUCCUAUUGACGAGACAGGGAUGCCCAAGGAACGAUUCUCAGCUAAUGCUAAUGGAUCAUUCUCCACUCUGAAGAUCCAGCCCACAGAAGCCGGGGACUCGGCCACGUACCUCUGUGCCAGCAGCUUAGCCACAGAGCUGCAGAGUCACCCCCUCCCUGUGCAGAAACCUUUCUAUUUCCCCUUCCGGCCCCAGAUAUCCUCAGCAGUUUCCAGGCUCGCCUAA
This is a non-coding RNA of Pipistrellus kuhlii (Kuhl's pipistrelle), 545 nucleotides long. The record is from the annotation of a RefSeq genome assembly. Lineage: Eukaryota; Metazoa; Chordata; Mammalia; Chiroptera; Vespertilionidae.